AUGUUCUUCAGACUUCUCUGCUGUGGCCCUUUUUUUCUGGGAAGCAGGUUCCCUGGACACUAAGGUCACCCAGAGUCCUGGACACCUGGUCAAAGGGAAAGGACAGAAAGCAAAGAUGGAUUGUGUCCCUAUAAAAGGACAUAGUUAUGUUUAUUGGUAUCAUCGAAAGCUGGAAGAAGAGUUCAAGUUUUUGGCUUACUUACAGAACAACGAUAUUAUUGAUAAAAUAGAAACGUUCGAUCGUCAGUUUUCAGCUCAAUGUCCCAACGACUCACCCUGCACCCUGGAAAUCAAGUCUGCUGAGCCAGGGGACUCAGCCCUGUAUAUGUGUGCCAGCAGCAAAACCACAGUGCUGAAUGUUAGCUUUUCUUAGAACACAAACACAUCAUGGACAAAGCUCAGGAAAUAACAUGGUGUAUUAGGGAGGUAGGAACUAACAGAAACGCUGUGUGGAGGAGCAUAAACCAGAAGGAAAAAUUUGUAGAGAGCAGCUCCAGGUGAGCAGAAAGGGAUGUUUAAAACAGCUGAUGGGGAAAAAAACCCAAGAAAGGGGAAGGAAGGUGUAAAAGGGGCUGAGGUUCCCCAUUUUGCAAGAUAUCUAGCAAAGGAAAGAAGGA
Ailuropoda melanoleuca (giant panda) is the source of this 617-nucleotide non-coding RNA. The record is from the annotation of a RefSeq genome assembly. Lineage: Eukaryota; Metazoa; Chordata; Mammalia; Carnivora; Ursidae.